RNAcentral lists this long non-coding RNA (292 nucleotides) under Arabidopsis lyrata. RNAcentral describes it as "long non-coding RNA (ALYR_LNC000309)". The record is from RNAcentral. Lineage: Eukaryota; Viridiplantae; Streptophyta; Magnoliopsida; Brassicales; Brassicaceae.
CUUAGUACUCAAAGAUGAGUACUUCUCGCCCAUCUCCGAAUCUAGCUCGUCCCGGGGCAAAUGUUCCUCGACCAUUCUUCAUAAAAUGGAUGGUUGAGCGACGAAAUUUCAAUAUGGGUCGAGGAAAUAUGUCAUUUGACCGAUGGAAAUGAAGCUAGGGCGUUUCGGGAAGGCUCUCGUCGGACUCCGACAAAUUGGCUCGACCGUUUUCAAAAUUGUCUCGACCAAACAUCAUGAAAUACCCAUAAGUACGGUGAAUCUCGAAGAUGGUACAGGGAAUUAUGAGUUUGGG